This 301-nucleotide ribosomal RNA is filed under the name uncultured bacterium. RNAcentral's name for it is "partial 16S ribosomal RNA". It matches the Rfam family "Bacterial small subunit ribosomal RNA", at positions 509 to 807 of the family's 1533-position model. The record is from RNAcentral.
CAGUAGCCACGGUAAUACGGAGGGUGCAAGCGUUAAUCGGAAUUACUGGGCGUAAAGCGCACGCAGGCGGUCUGACAAGUCAGAUGUGAAAUCCCCGGGCUUAACCUGGGAACUGCAUUUGAAACUGUCAGGCUGGAGUCUUGUAGAGGGGGGUGGAAUUCCAGGUGUAGCGGUGAAAUGCGUAGAGAUCUGGAGGAAUACCGGUGGCGAAGGCGGCCCCCUGGAAAAAGACUGACGCUCAGGUGCGAAAGCGUGGGGAGCAAACAGGAUUAGAUACCCCGGUAGUCCCUGUCUCUUAUAC